UGUUGCACGCCUUUGGGGGGGAUGAGAACCCCCCGACCGGGGUUCGACAACUGGCGCAGCCAGUUGGACAGACUGAGAGCGUAGCGAACAGGCUGCCCGAAGGGCGAGCGAAGCGAGUCAAUCCCCCCCCUCACCGCCA
Molecule: small RNA, 139 nt
Filed under: Microbacterium sp. SUBG005
Lineage: Bacteria; Bacillati; Actinomycetota; Actinomycetes; Micrococcales; Microbacteriaceae
Description: RtT RNA
Source: RNAcentral